UCAUUAUUGAAAAUACAAAAACGGAAAUACAAACCGACAAAACCAUAUAGAGACCAGCACAAUGAAAGUCGGGCUAAUAUUACUUCCCUGUGGAUACUUUGUCUCAUAAUGAAAACAUCAGCGGACAACAGCUCAAGGGCACCCAAAAAUGUUGAGGAUCAGUGGCAAAUUGAGCAUUUCUUUACCAGUCCAACAUCCUCCCCAUGCGAGACAUCCAGCAUGUGCAGUUCGAACAUUAUUUUCUAUUACUGAAAAUAUGGCGGUCAUAGCGCACAUGAUGCACUGAAAUGAAGAGAGAGGGGACAAGACAGAGAAGAGAGGAUUGGAGUUAAGUGACGAGAAAAAGAGGGAUACUGGAAAGAGGACUGCAAUGUAUGAGCUGAGAGAUAAAGAGUGAGAGUUAGAUAAAGAAAGGUAGGUACAACUGGAGAGGAGCAGAGUUAAUUUGAGAGAGCUGAAGGGAUACAGGGAUACGGACUCCCUCUGGCUCUGACGUAGUCAUCCCAUGCAGCAUACCAUCCCAUGUAGCUCCACCACUCCACUCUGUCCUGCUGAAUAAUGGAGGCUACUCUAGGUGUGUGUCUGGCAAAGUAUUGUGCUCCCAGGUACUGUCCAGGAGAUUCGUGUUGUUUAUGGUGCCAUAAAACUAAGAUGCUUAGCUGCAAACAUUGAGAGUAGAUACUGGGAAAGGAACAAUUGCUCUUGAAACAAUUGAGAUGUUAAUUUUUUUCAUUAGCUUUGUGAGAUUCUCAAGGUAUUAGUUAUCUCAGUCCAGUGAAAAUGGGUUUGAUGUUUUUAUGGGUUUGAUGUUACCAGUAUUUUCCUCACUUGUUGCUUGGCAACACUAUGGGCCAACAUGGUGUAAUUGGGUGUUUUAGAAAUGAACACAAUAGAUCAACUGAGAGCGGAAUGGAGAGACCCCUUAAAUGGCAGAUUAUGUUGUUUAGAAAGAGAGAGAGAGACAGCCAUAAUAUGACAUUUUAAAUAUCUCUAUUCCUUUGAAAUGUUUGUGAGUGUAAUGUUUACUGUUC
Salmo salar (Atlantic salmon) is the source of this 1031-nucleotide non-coding RNA. The record is from RefSeq and is a predicted model, not a curated record. Lineage: Eukaryota; Metazoa; Chordata; Actinopteri; Salmoniformes; Salmonidae.